RNAcentral lists this ribosomal RNA (459 nucleotides) under uncultured bacterium. Its description in RNAcentral is "bacterial SSU rRNA". It matches the Rfam family "Bacterial small subunit ribosomal RNA", at positions 28 to 452 of the family's 1533-position model. The record is from RNAcentral.
GACGAACGCUGGCGGCGUGCUUAACACAUGCAAGUCGAACGGAGCGCCAUGGAAUGAGGUUUCGGCCAAAGGAAAUGGUUGCUUAGUGGCGGACUGGUGAGUAACGCGUGAGGAACCUGCCUUUCAGAGGGGGACAACAGUUGGAAACGACUGCUAAUACCGAAUACGCUUGGGAGACCGCAUGAUCUACCAAGGAAAGGGUGGCCUCUACCUGUAAGCUAUCGCCUGAAGAGGGGUUUGCGUCUGAUUAGGCAGUUGGUGAGGUAACGGCCCACCAAACCUACGAUCAGUAGCCGGUCUGAGAGGAUGAACGGCCACACUGGAACUGAGACACGGUCCAGACUCCUACGGGAGGCAGCAGUGGGGAAUCUUCCGCAAUGGGCGAAAAGCCUGACGGAGCAACGCCGCGUGAGUGAUGACGGCCUCGGUUGUAAGGACUCUGUGAUCGGGACGGAACGG